AAACCAACAGGGAUUACCUUAGUAACGGCGAGUGAAGCGGUAAAUGCUCAAAUUUGAAAGCUGCCAACAGGCCGCGUUGUAAUUUGUAGAAGAUGCUUUGGGUGUCGGCCCAGUCUAAGUUCCUUGGAACAGGACGUCAUAGAGGGUGAGAAUCCCGUAUGUGAUUGGUGCCGUCCCCCGUGUAAAGCUCUUUCGACGAGUCGAGUUGUUUGGGAAUGCAGCUCAAAAUGGGUGGUAAAUUUCAUCUAAAGCUAAAUAUUGGCCAGAGACCGAUAGCGCACAAGUAGAGUGAUCGAAAGAUGAAAAGCACUUUGGAAAGAGAGUUAAACAGUACGUGAAAUUGUUGAAAGGGAAGCGCUUGCAAUCAGACUUGCAGGCGGUCGAUCAUCCGAGGUUCUCCCCGGUGCACUCGAUCGUCUUCAGGCCAGCAUCGGUUUCCGUGGUGGGAUAAAGGCUGUGAGAACGUAGCUCUUCGGAGUGUUAUAGCUCACGGUGCAAUGCCGCCUACGGGGACCGAGGACCGCGCUUCGGCUAGGAUGCUGGCGUAAUGGUUGUAAGCGAC
Molecule: ribosomal RNA, 562 nt
Filed under: Helotiales sp. OTU12 TS-2013
Lineage: Eukaryota; Fungi; Ascomycota; Leotiomycetes; Helotiales
Description: eukaryotic LSU rRNA
Rfam family: Eukaryotic large subunit ribosomal RNA
Source: RNAcentral